UGGGGAAUUUUGGGCAAUGGGCGCAAGCCUGAUCCAGCCAUGCCGCGUGAGUGAAGAAGGCCUUCGGGUUGUAAAGCUCUUUCGGCGGGGACGAAACGGUUCGUGACAACACCACGGACUAAUGACGGUACCCGCAUAAGAAGCACCGGCUAACUACGUGCCAGCAGCCGCGGUAAUACGUAGGGUGCAGGCGUUAAUCGGAAUUACUGGGCGUAAAGCGUGCGCAGGCGGUUUGUUAAGACAGGUGUGAAAUCCCCGGGCUUAACCUGGGAAUUGCGCUUGAAACUAGCGGGCUUGAGUGUGGCAGAGGGGGGUGGAAUUCCACGUGUAGCAGUGAAAUGCGUAGAGAUGUGGAGGAACACCGAUGGCGAAGGCAGCCCCCUGGGUCAACACUGACGCUGAGGCACGAAAGCGUGGGGAGCGAACAGGAUUAGAUACCCCAGUAGUCCCUGAGCGGGCUGGCAAGGCGCAU
Molecule: ribosomal RNA, 472 nt
Filed under: uncultured bacterium
Lineage: Bacteria
Description: bacterial SSU rRNA
Rfam family: Bacterial small subunit ribosomal RNA
Source: RNAcentral